UCAGUUUCUCGACCCCUGUGUGGUGUGGAUGCUCUUAUCAUUCUUUUACUUUAUAGACGGAAGGACUCCCAGGCAAGGUGAGCCUCUCGCUGAGGGCCAUGAGGACAGCAGGUGCUCCAUAGUGAUGAUGACUGAGAACCAGAUUCAGUGUGGUCCACAGGGGGCUCCCACCGCAACCUCCUUAAUUCUUGACACUCUCCUGCCUCGUGGCCAUGUUUGCUCUGCUCCCUGACUGAAUGGCAAUGGCGCCCUUGUCAGAUGUCCUCACACCCCCUGCUCACCAAAAGCUCAGGGACAUCCCGGCCCGCAUUGUUCAAGCCAGGAAACCACCCACCCUCCAUAGCUAGGGGGGUGGCUUCUAAGAAGUUGUUUCUUCCCAGGGAGGCAGAGGCUCAGGAGCAGGCAAUGCUGUAUCAAGAGUCUAUAUGACAUUGAUUGGUCUGGAACUCAUGAGUGGAGGCAGUGCGACCAGCUUCCUCAAGUUCCUUCCACCACGCCUCUGCACCAUGAUGGACAGACUGACUGUACCCGGGAACUAUGAGGCAAAAUAAACCCUUUCUUCCGUAGACUGUUCUUGCUGGGGAUUCUGCACAGCCAGGAGUAACUAAUACACCCUAACACUACCAGGUCCAAAAUUAGAAGCCAUUCUUCCGGUCCAGUGGAACCCUGAACCUGUUAACCAUCCCCCCCGACCCCCGCCCCCGUCCCGUAUCUGGUAAGCACUGCUCUAUUUUCUCCUCCCAUGAUGAUGGCCACUUCUUCAACUUCCCCGUGGAAGUGAGAGCAUGUGGUUUCUGUCUCUGUUUGGCUCACUCCACAGAGUGACGUGACCUCCAGGCUUAGCCAUGCUGCUGAGGAGGGCAGAGGCUCCUUCUCUCCAUCGUGACUAGUUCCCCGUGGCACACAGGUACCACUGUCUCUCCCCAGCCAUCAGCACUGGACUGAUGCAAUGAGGUUGGUUCCGUGGGCUAGCUACAGUGAAUAGAGGCUCAGGGGAAGGGGCAGCCUUCUCCAGCACACUAUUUCCCCUCCUGUGGGCAUGUGCACCUAGUGAUGGGCUGGCUACACCACGAAGUAGGGCCUUUCUGGUUUCCGUUCCAUGCUACUUCUGGGAUAUUGGCACAAACCGACAGCCCCACUGACAACGUCUGUCUGUCUGGUUUUUUUUUUUUUUUGGUUUGGUUUUUCGAGACAGGGUUUCUCUGUAUAGACCUGGCUGUCCUGGAACUCACUUUGUAGACCAGACUGGCCUCGAACUCAGAAAUCCACCUGUCCCUGCCUCCCAAGUGCUGGGAUUAAAGGCGUGCACCACCAUGCCUGGCUUGUCUGUCUGUUUUCUUCUGCAUCCCUGCCCAGCGCACUUCUUCUUUUUUUUUUUAAAGAUUUAUUUAUUUAUUAUAUGUAAGUACACUGUAGCUGUCUUCAGACACACCAGAAGAGGCCGUCAGAUCUCAUUACGGGUGGUUGUGAGCCACCAUGUGGUUGCUGGGAUUUGAACUCAGAACCUUUGGAAGAGCAGUCAGUGU
This is a long non-coding RNA of Mus musculus (house mouse), 1526 nucleotides long. RefSeq annotates it as predicted gene, 53904. Lineage: Eukaryota; Metazoa; Chordata; Mammalia; Rodentia; Muridae. The transcript has 3 exons. The record is from RefSeq and is a predicted model, not a curated record.